RNAcentral lists this long non-coding RNA (1185 nucleotides) under Cairina moschata (Muscovy duck). RNAcentral describes it as "domestica (muscovy Duck (domestic type)) lncRNA (ENSCMMG00000001969.1)". The record is from RNAcentral. Lineage: Eukaryota; Metazoa; Chordata; Aves; Anseriformes; Anatidae.
AAUGAAAGAAAGAAAAGCCCCCCCUCCGUCCCUCUCCCCACCCUGCCAACCGCCCCAAAGCCGAGCGGGGCUGCCCGCGGCUCGUCCCCAGCCCGCUCCCCGCGGGGGUCCGCGGCUGUGGGGCGAGAGAGAAAGGGUGUCAAGCUCCGGGGUGCCCGGCAGCCCCCCCCAGCCCGGCGCCCCUCCGCUUACCUGCGGGGAGGAGCGGGGUCUCACGGCGGGGAGCACUGCGGGGCUGCUCCGGGGAGGCGGCGGCUGGCUCAGGGGGUGCCCGGGCUCCCCGAGCUCCCCGAGCCCGGCCCCGGCGCCGCCGCCAUCCUCGGCGAGACUCGGGCGGGGGCCGGCAGGCGGCGGGGCCGGGGCGGUCACUGCCGGCCGGGGGAGGACGCCCGGCGCCCGGGGGCUGCGCGCCCCCCCGCCGCCGCCACCGCAGGGCCAGCCGGAGGCGGCCGCCCCCUGCCCGCCCCGCGGCGACGGGCGGGUGCCAUAGCAGCGGGGCCGCGGCCACCCCGGGGGGUGGGAGGGGGGCGUGGGCGGGCGGCGGCUCCCGGGCUGCAGAAAAAGGGUGGGGGGAAAGGAAAAAAAAAAAAAAAAAAAAAAACAACUUUGCCCGCUCCGCCGCGAGGUGCCCGGGCGCCGCCCCCGCCGCAAAGUUUCACUCGGCGAGCUGCCGGCUGCGGGCACGGCUCCCCGGGGACGGCGCCCCCAGCCCCAUCGCCCGCUGCUCCCCGCGGGAUGCGGCCGGAGGAGGAGGAGGAGGAGGAGGAGGAGGAGGAGCAGGAGGAAGCGGGCGGGCACCAGGGAGCCUGCGGCGGGACGGGGCAGGGAAGUUUCCCCUCUCCCCGGGGAAAAGCGUGGCUCCCCGGUGCUCGGUGCCUGUGCUGUCCCCGGUGCCCAGUGCCCGGUGCUGUCCCCGGAGCCUCCCCGCGCCGCUCUGCCUCCGGCCCCGUCGGGCGGGCUCUUUGUAGGGAGCCCGGUCCCGCCCCGGCGGGCUGCGGGGCUCCGAGGCCGGGAAGGAGGAGCCGGCGGGCGGGGAGCGGCGCCCGGCGGAGCUCCGGGGGCUGUGAAGGCUGUGGAGGCACGGGGGGCUCGGCAGUGAGGCAGGACACCCUGCCGAUCUCUUGUGAGAGCCAGGCGGGAGCACGGAGUGAUUCACCCGGGUGGGUUUUGCCUCAGAGACAAUGA